CCCUUAGAUGUUCUGGGCCGCACGCGUGCUACACUGAGUAAAUCAAUGGGUAAGGGAACACGAAAGUGCAACCUAAUCUUGAAAUUUGCUCGUGAUGGGGAUCGACGGUUGCAAUUUUCCGUCGUGAACGAGGAAUACCUUGUAGGCGCGUGUCAUCAUCACGCGCCGAAUACGUCCCUGCCCUUUGUACACACCGCCCGUCGCUCCUACCGAUUGAGUGAUCCGGUGAGGCCCUGGGACCUGGACGGAAAGAGCGUUUCGCUUGUUCUGUUUGGGAAACUUGGUCGAACCUUAUCAUUUAGAGGAAGGAGAAGUCGUAACA
This 322-nucleotide ribosomal RNA is filed under the name uncultured eukaryote. RNAcentral's name for it is "partial 18S ribosomal RNA". It matches the Rfam family "Eukaryotic small subunit ribosomal RNA", at positions 1470 to 1796 of the family's 1831-position model. The record is from RNAcentral.